This 578-nucleotide ribosomal RNA is filed under the name Escherichia coli. Its description in RNAcentral is "bacterial SSU rRNA". It matches the Rfam family "Bacterial small subunit ribosomal RNA", at positions 1 to 568 of the family's 1533-position model. Lineage: Bacteria; Pseudomonadati; Pseudomonadota; Gammaproteobacteria; Enterobacterales; Enterobacteriaceae. The record is from RNAcentral.
AAAUUGAAGAGUUUGAUCAUGGCUCAGAUUGAACGCUGGCGGCAGGCCUAACACAUGCAAGUCGAACGGUAACAGGAAGAAGCUUGCUUCUUUGCUGACGAGUGGCGGACGGGUGAGUAAUGUCUGGGAAACUGCCUGAUGGAGGGGGAUAACUACUGGAAACGGUAGCUAAUACCGCAUAACGUCGCAAGACCAAAGAGGGGGACCUUCGGGCCUCUUGCCAUCGGAUGUGCCCAGAUGGGAUUAGCUAGUAGGUGGGGUAACGGCUCACCUAGGCGACGAUCCCUAGCUGGUCUGAGAGGAUGACCAGCCACACUGGAACUGAGACACGGUCCAGACUCCUACGGGAGGCAGCAGUGGGGAAUAUUGCACAAUGGGCGCAAGCCUGAUGCAGCCAUGCCGCGUGUAUGAAGAAGGCCUUCGGGUUGUAAAGUACUUUCAGCGGGGAGGAAGGGAGUAAAGUUAAUACCUUUGCUCAUUGACGUUACCCGCAGAAGAAGCACCGGCUAACUCCGUGCCAGCAGCCGCGGUAAUACGGAGGGUGCAAGCGUUAAUCGGAAUUACUGGGCGUAAAGCGC